CGCGCAGGCGGUAACCGUAAGUCAGACGUGAAAUCCUUCGGCUUAACUGAAGAACUGCGUCUGAAACUGCGUGACUAGAGUGCAGAAGAGGGAAACGGAAUUCCUGGUGUAGAGGUGAAAUUCGUAGAUAUCAGGAGGAACACCGGUGGCGAAGGCGGUUUCCUGGUCUGACACUGACGCUGAGGCGCGAAAGCGUGGGGAGCAAACAGGAUUAGAUACCCUGGUAGUCCACGCCGUAAACGGUGGGUACUGGGUGUGGGAGGUGUAAUGCCUUCUGUGCCGAAGCUAACGCGUUAAGUACCCCGCCUGGGGAGUACGGCCGCAAGGUUGAA
Molecule: ribosomal RNA, 332 nt
Filed under: uncultured bacterium
Lineage: Bacteria
Description: bacterial SSU rRNA
Rfam family: Bacterial small subunit ribosomal RNA
Source: RNAcentral